GACGAACGCUGGCGGCGUGCUUAACACAUGCAAGUCGAACGCUGAAGCUUGGUGCUUGCACUGGGUGGAUGAGUGGCGAACGGGUGAGUAAUACGUGAGUAACCUGCCCUUGACUCUGGGAUAAGCCUGGGAAACUGGGUCUAAUACUGGAUAUGACAUGCCACUGCAUGGUGGUGUGUGGAAAGGGUUUUACUGGUUUUGGAUGGGCUCACGGCCUAUCAGCUUGUUGGCGGGGUAAUGGCCUACCAAGGCGACGACGGGUAGCCGGCCUGAGAGGGUGACCGGCCACACUGGGACUGAGACACGGCCCAGACUCCUACGGGAGGCGGCAGUGGGGAAUAUUGCACAAUGGGCGGAAGCCUGAUGCAGCGACGCCGCGUGAGGGAUGACGGCCUUCGGGUUGUAAACCUCUUUCAGCACGGAAGAAGCGAGAGUGACGGUACGUGCAGAAGAAGCGCCGGCUAACUACGUG
Molecule: ribosomal RNA, 472 nt
Filed under: uncultured bacterium
Lineage: Bacteria
Description: partial 16S ribosomal RNA
Rfam family: Bacterial small subunit ribosomal RNA
Source: RNAcentral